AUACGGAGGGGGCAAGCGUUGUUCGGAAUUACUGGGCGUAAAGGGCGCGUAGGCGGAUUGUCAAGUCAGAGGUGAAAGCCCUGGGCUCAACCUGGGAACUGCCUUUGAAACUAACAGUCUAGAGGCCGAGAGAGGAUGGCGGAAUUCCCAGUGUAGAGGUGAAAUUCGUAGAUAUUGGGAAGAACACCAGUGGCGAAGGCGGCCAUCUGGCUCGGUACUGACGCUGAGGCGCGAAAGCGUGGGGAGCAAACAGGAUUAGAAACCCCAGUAGUCC
Molecule: ribosomal RNA, 274 nt
Filed under: uncultured bacterium
Lineage: Bacteria
Description: partial 16S ribosomal RNA
Rfam family: Bacterial small subunit ribosomal RNA
Source: RNAcentral